AGAAUCAACGCUGGCGGCGUGCCUAACACAUGCAAGUCGAACGAGAAAGGGGAGCAAUCCCUGAGUAAAGUGGCGCACGGGUGAGUAACACGUGACUAACCUACCCUUGAGUGGGGGAUAACCUAGGGAAACCUGGGCUAAUACCGCAUAAUACCUUCGGGUCAAAGGAGCAAUUCGCUUAAGGAGGGGGUCGCGGCCGAUUAGUUAGUUGGCGGGGUAAUGGCCCACCAAGACUGUGAUCGGUAUCCGG
This 250-nucleotide ribosomal RNA is filed under the name uncultured bacterium. RNAcentral's name for it is "partial small subunit ribosomal RNA". It matches the Rfam family "Bacterial small subunit ribosomal RNA", at positions 26 to 290 of the family's 1533-position model. The record is from RNAcentral.